CUCAGAUUGAACGCUGGCGGCAGGCCUAACACAUGCAAGUCGAGCGGUAGCACAGAGAGCUUGCUCUCGGGUGACGAGCGGCGGACGGGUGAGUAAUGUCUGGGAAACUGCCUGAUGGAGGGGGAUAACUACUGGAAACGGUAGCUAAUACCGCAUAACGUCGCAAGACCAAAGUGGGGGACCUUCGGGCCUCAUGCCAUCAGAUGUGCCCAGAUGGGAUUAGCUAGUAGGUGGGGUAACGGCUCACCUAGGCGACGAUCCCUAGCUGGUCUGAGAGGAUGACCAGCCACACUGGAACUGAGACACGGUCCAGACUCCUACGGGAGGCAGCAGUGGGGAAUAUUGCACAAUGGGCGCAAGCCUGAUGCAGCCAUGCCGCGUGUGUGAAGAAGGCCUUCGGGUUGUAAAGCACUUUCAGCGGGGAGGAAGGCGGUGAGGUUAAUAACCUCAUCGAUUGACGUUACCCGCAGAAGAAGCACCGGCUAACUCCGUGCCAGCAGCCGCGGUAAUACGGAGGGUGCAAGCGUUAAUCGGAAUUACUGGGCGUAAAGCGCACGCAGGCGGUCUGUCAAGUCGGAUGUGAAAUCCCCGGGCUCAACCUGGGAACUGCAUUCGAAACUGGCAGGCUAGAGUCUUGUAGAGGGGGGUAGAAUUCCAGGUGUAGCGGUGAAAUGCGUAGAGAUCUGGAGGAAUACCGGUGGCGAAGGCGGCCCCCUGGACAAAGACUGACGCUCAGGUGCGAAAGCGUGGGGAGCAAACAGGAUUAGAUACCCUGGUAGUCCACGCCGUAAACGAUGUCGAUUUGGAGGUUGUGCCCUUGAGGCGUGGCUUCCGGAGCUAACGCGUUAAAUCGACCGCCUGGGGAGUACGGCCGCAAGGUUAAAACUCAAAUGAAUUGACGGGGGCCCGCACAAGCGGUGGAGCAUGUGGUUUAAUUCGAUGCAACGCGAAGAACCUUACCUGGUCUUGACAUCCACAGAACUUUCCAGAGAUGGAUUGGUGCCUUCGGGAACUGUGAGACAGGUGCUGCAUGGCUGUCGUCAGCUCGUGUUGUGAAAUGUUGGGUUAAGUCCCGCAACGAGCGCAACCCUUAUCCUUUGUUGCCAGCGGUUCGGCCGGGAACUCAAAGGAGACUGCCAGUGAUAAACUGGAGGAAGGUGGGGAUGACGUCAAGUCAUCAUGGCCCUUACGACCAGGGCUACACACGUGCUACAAUGGCAUAUACAAAGAGAAGCGACCUCGCGAGAGCAAGCGGACCUCAUAAAGUAUGUCGUAGUCCGGAUUGGAGUCUGCAACUCGACUCCAUGAAGUCGGAAUCGCUAGUAAUCGUAGAUCAGAAUGCUACGGUGAAUACGUUCCCGGGCCUUGUACACACCGCCCGUCACACCAUGGGA
This 1394-nucleotide ribosomal RNA is filed under the name Klebsiella sp. RNAcentral's name for it is "bacterial SSU rRNA". It matches the Rfam family "Bacterial small subunit ribosomal RNA". Lineage: Bacteria; Pseudomonadati; Pseudomonadota; Gammaproteobacteria; Enterobacterales; Enterobacteriaceae. The record is from RNAcentral.